This 819-nucleotide ribosomal RNA is filed under the name uncultured bacterium. Its description in RNAcentral is "bacterial SSU rRNA". It matches the Rfam family "Bacterial small subunit ribosomal RNA", at positions 8 to 814 of the family's 1533-position model. The record is from RNAcentral.
AGAGUUUGAUCCUGGCUCAGGAUGAACUCUAGCUACAGGCUUAACACAUGCAAGUCGAGGGGCAGCAUGGUCUUAGCUUGCUAAGGCUGAUGGCGACCGGCGCACGGGUGAGUAACACGUAUCCAACCUGCCGUCUACUCUUGGCCAGCCUUCUGAAAGGAAGAUUAAUCCAGGAUGGCAUCAUGAGUUCACAUGUCCGCAUGAUUAAAGGUAUUUUCCGGUAGACGAUGGGGAUGCGUUCCAUUAGAUAGUAGGCGGGGUAACGGCCCACCUAGUCAACGAUGGAUAGGGGUUCUGAGAGGAAGGUCCCCCACAUUGGAACUGAGACACGGUCCAAACUCCUACGGGAGGCAGCAGUGAGGAAUAUUGGUCAAUGGGCGAUGGCCUGAACCAGCCAAGUAGCGUGAAGGAUGACUGCCCUAUGGGUUGUAAACUUCUUUUAUAAAGGAAUAAAGUCGGGUAUGCAUACCCGUUUGCAUGUACUUUAUGAAUAAGGAUCGGCUAACUCCGUGCCAGCAGCCGCGGUAAUACGGAGGAUCCGAGCGUUAUCCGGAUUUAUUGGGUUUAAAGGGAGCGUAGAUGGAUGUUUAAGUCAGUUGUGAAAGUUUGCGGCUCAACCGUAAAAUUGCAGUUGAUACUGGAUGUCUUGAGUGCAGUUGAGGCAGGCGGAAUUCGUGGUGUAGCGGUGAAAUGCUUAGAUAUCACGAAGAACUCCGAUUGCGAAGGCAGCCUGCUAAGCUGCAACUGACAUUGAGGCUCGAAAGUGUGGGUAUCAAACAGGAUUAGAUACCCUGGUAGUCCACACGGUAAACGAUGAAU